UGAUCCUCAGUUUUGGAAAGCUAUGGUGACAAAAUAGAAUGAUGUGCAAGUUACUGAAAAAGAAUUGCAUAUGAAACCUUGCCAGAGAUGGAGAAAGACUUCUGUACAUUUAUGGAGAAGAAGAAAUAGGGUUAAGGUCACUGAAUGUGUUUCACCUGGUUGUGAUUAUUCAGAGAUGUGGUCUGCCACACAAGCUGUAAAAUCUGGGAUACGUGUAACAUAGCUACACUCAGAGGUCUAGUUUACUGAGAAAAGCCCAGACGAGUUAUUUGCAAGAGAUUUAUUAGAACUUGAGCCAUUACUGCAACAGGAAUUGUGCUGCAAGGAAAAAUACAAAUUAUCUGUCACUGCUUCUAACAGAGCUGGGAGGGGGAAAAUGCAUGAAUCUAGAAGCUUUAAUUACCUGCAGAAAUGUGAGUUGGUUAUGCAGCGCCUAUUUUAAUUACCAUCUGAUUAAAAUUAAUCUUAGCUAGGAAAGGAGAAAGUGAAAUAAGGAAACUGCAGUCUGCAGGUUAAUGUUCCAAAUGUCACCAAAUGCAGACAAGUAAAGAGGAGAAGAUUGGGAUGAAGGGCACGUACUGUGAGUGACUAUCUACAAAGUAAAAUAUGUUUUAAAAUUUUAUUGUGUCAACAUGCUUUCAUUCUUUCUGAACUUCUGGAAAAGUUGCAUUCAUCAUUUUUCUACCAGAGGCAUCUAAAUAUGGCAAUACUUUCCUUAAGUAAAAGCAUUCCCGGUGAAAUGAAAUUAUUCCAAUUGUUCCUAGGACUUUGACCCCAGUUCUCUGUGGCUGUUUCUUUCAAUGGCAAAUCUAGAAUAUAGUUGAACAUCAUAUCGUUCAUUGUUUAUCAUUCCAGUAUUUCUACUUAAUUUUUCAGAGCUAAAGAAGACUAAGAGGAUCCUUAUUAUGUUCUCAAAAUUGACCAUUAGUAACUUCUUUGAAAGUCAUGACAAAUGCCCCAAAAACUCACGUUUAUGUUUAAUAAUGUGUAUGUGUGUGCAUGUGUGCUGAUUCAUACCACCUGCCUUGAUGGCGUGCAUCAGCAAACCUGGGAAUAUUACCCAUGUGUUAAGUAGUACCUUGUCAACAUUGAGACCUUAAAAAUUAUCUUUUACACACACAGGUAAUUUGCAACUGCCUUACCA
Molecule: long non-coding RNA, 1144 nt
Filed under: Papio anubis (olive baboon)
Lineage: Eukaryota; Metazoa; Chordata; Mammalia; Primates; Cercopithecidae
Description: lncRNA (ENSPANG00000047824.1)
Source: RNAcentral